Olea europaea var. sylvestris is the source of this 996-nucleotide long non-coding RNA. RefSeq lists it as uncharacterized. The record is from RefSeq and is a predicted model, not a curated record. Lineage: Eukaryota; Viridiplantae; Streptophyta; Magnoliopsida; Lamiales; Oleaceae. The transcript is spliced from 2 exons.
CCGAGAAGACGAGGAGGGAGGAGAAAACAGAGAAAGAAAGAGGAAGAACUAGGAGAAGCAAAUACCAGAAAAAAAUGUGAGGGCAGUAAAGCCUGUUAAUUGACUACCAUUCUCCAUCUUCUUUUCCUCCAAUACAAGACACUUAUACAAAAUAUAACCCUAAAAGUUAUGGGCUUGGGUUGGGCCCAUCAAUACAAACCCAAAGUAGUAUGGCCCAAAAUAAUAAAAAGAUGUCCUCAUCAGUUGUCCUGCAUCAUUUGGCAUGCAUUACCUUUGAAAGGACAUUUUUUGGUUAAAAUCAAUGCCCUGCCUUCAGAUAAAGGAUGCAUCAGUUAAUUGAUGGAGAAUAGUGAGCUUAUCUGACAAGAUGGACUCUGCUACCUGAACUUGGUUUGAAAAGAAAUAAUUUAUUGGCUUGAUAAAUGUUUUCAUGGUUAAUUAAACAUAUUGUUAACAGAAAAAUAUACCAUGCUUUUUUGAUGUGAACUAAGUAGGCCUAAUGAACUUUGGGGUUUGUAAGAAUGCAUUAAUACAUGCUGUUGACUAAGAUAGUCUUGACCAGGAAGAGUAGUCAUGGAAUUCUGCUUAAGUAUGACCCAGCCUUAUGUUACUGUAUGAAAAUGCUUGAAAACCUUUUGCUUUUGCUUUUGCUUUUAUUUAUUAGUUUAUCAUUAAGAAACAAAUGAAUUAUUAUGCAUGUGAGAUGUUUUUAUCGUUAACUACAUCCAUAUCAGAAUCUUGAGUCCGAAUGCCUACGCCAUCACCUGGCAACUUUUGCCGAAUCCCUUAGCAAAGCGAGAAUCAUGAUCCACCCUCCUGUAAAGAGAUCAUUGAAAUCAGGGGAAUCUCUUUCUGCUUUAGUGGACACUGUGGACAAGGAACACAGGAGACUUCUUGCACGCAAGUCUAUAAUUGAAAAACGCAAAGAAGAACAUGAACGUCAACUUUUUGAGAUGGAACGAGAGGAGGAGGCGAAGAGGCUAAAACUGCAGAAAA